This 68-nucleotide transfer RNA is filed under the name Teleogryllus occipitalis. Its description in RNAcentral is "tRNA-Pro". Lineage: Eukaryota; Metazoa; Arthropoda; Insecta; Orthoptera; Gryllidae. The record is from RNAcentral.
CAGAGAAUAGUUUAAUUAAAAUAUUAAUUUUGGGGAUUAGUGAUAGAAUAAUGAUGUUCUUUCUCUGA